This 465-nucleotide ribosomal RNA is filed under the name uncultured Dialister sp. Its description in RNAcentral is "bacterial SSU rRNA". It matches the Rfam family "Bacterial small subunit ribosomal RNA", at positions 338 to 795 of the family's 1533-position model. Lineage: Bacteria; Bacillati; Bacillota; Negativicutes; Veillonellales; Veillonellaceae. The record is from RNAcentral.
CCUACGGGGGGCUGCAGUGGGGAAUCUUCCGCAAUGGACGAAAGUCUGACGGAGCAACGCCGCGUGAGUGAUGACGGCCUUCGGGUUGUAAAGCUCUGUGAUCGGGGACGAAUGGCUGGUAUGCUAAUACCAUAUCAGAGUGACGGUACCCGAAUAGCAAGCCACGGCUAACUACGUGCCAGCAGCCGCGGUAAUACGUAGGUGGCAAGCGUUGUCCGGAAUUAUUGGGCGUAAAGCGCGCGCAGGCGGCUUCUUAAGUCCAUCUUAAAAGUGCGGGGCUUAACCCCGUGAUGGGAUGGAAACUGGGAGGCUGGAGUAUCGGAGAGGAAAGUGGAAUUCCUAGUGUAGCGGUGAAAUGCGUAGAGAUUAGGAAGAACACCGGUGGCGAAGGCGACUUUCUGGACGACAACUGACGCUGAGGCGCGAAAGCGUGGGGAGCAAACAGGAUUAGAUACCCCAGUAGUC